GCUUGAACUAAGCUUCUUCAUUACAAAGGUUGGAUUAUAGUAGUAGAGUUGGGAAAUCAACUCUCUUACAUUAUUAUGGGCUGUAAUGAGCGCGUGAGCAGUUCUAUGAUCGCAUUAAAAUCUCCCAUAAAUGGACAAGAAGUAUCGCCCGUCCGCUUGCAGGUCCUCAUUUAUAGUCGCUUAGAGUUCAGGGUGAAAACGAAAGUCAAAAAGAAACGAGAUUUCUCAUUGAAAUGUGCAUAAAAACAUCCAAAGCUAUUGCUGUUCAUAUUUCAUUUCCGAGGUCAAUGUCUGCCUGCUGAAAAAGAAAUUUAACCGCAAGGAAGCUGAAACAAUCACCAUCACCAUUUACACAUAUACCUUUUAAUGGUACAAUCCUUCACUUGAGUCCCAAUAAAACAAUGGGGCUGACUCGGUAUUUAAAGCAAAGCCAAUUCUGACAUGAAAACCAAUUUCACACUUACACCAAUUCCAUCUUACUGUAAGGGUAUUAGGGAUUGCACUGUGGAACAUUCCUAAGAAAUUAUCAUCAUCUAACCAAUUAUAACAAGAGUAUAAUUACAUGUCAGGAGCUGAAAGGGUUAGGUGACUUUCCCCGUCAUGCUGUACACAUUUUCUGUGGUGACUGCUGCUUUGUAAAUAAUGAAGGUUCCCCAGUAAAUCAAAUAAAAAAAUGCCCCAGCAUCUGCAAUUCAGAACCCUUUCCGUAGAACUAUGCCAUGUAAUGCUCUCCUUUGGCA
This 740-nucleotide unclassified non-coding RNA is filed under the name Hevea brasiliensis (rubber tree). Lineage: Eukaryota; Viridiplantae; Streptophyta; Magnoliopsida; Malpighiales; Euphorbiaceae. The record is from RNAcentral.